AUCUACUUUUUAUAUUGACACUAGAAAUAAUUUAUAUGGCUAAAUAACGUUUACCGGGUCAGCUAAUUUUUAAUUUAAAUUCACUCAAUAUUUUGG
Long non-coding RNA from Aricia agestis (brown argus), 96 nucleotides. RefSeq lists it as uncharacterized. The record is from RefSeq and is a predicted model, not a curated record. Lineage: Eukaryota; Metazoa; Arthropoda; Insecta; Lepidoptera; Lycaenidae. The transcript is spliced from 3 exons.